UUGCUUUGGCAGCAUAUAGACUAAAACUGGAAUAAUACAGAGAAGAUUAGCAUGGCCCCUGCUCACGGAUGACAUUCCAAAUUGUGAAGUGUUACAUAUUUAA
Small nuclear RNA from Phodopus roborovskii (desert hamster), 103 nucleotides. The record is from RefSeq and is a predicted model, not a curated record. NCBI's taxonomy places the organism in Eukaryota, Metazoa, Chordata, Mammalia, Rodentia, Cricetidae.